Molecule: long non-coding RNA, 1432 nt
Filed under: Apteryx owenii (little spotted kiwi)
Lineage: Eukaryota; Metazoa; Chordata; Aves; Apterygiformes; Apterygidae
Description: lncRNA (ENSAOWG00000012169.1)
Source: RNAcentral
CGUCCCCGGCGUCACCCGCGUCCCCGCGGGGCCGCACACGCGUGUGCGUCUCGCGCUCCACCACGACGCGCUCCAGGAACCAGGGCAGCGGCGGCAGGAGGCCGUGGGGCUCCGUGUGCAGCCGCGCCAGCAGCAGGCGGCCCAGGGGCCGCGGCGCCGUCACCCGGCACUCGCGCGCCUGUGGGGACGCGCACACGCUAAGCACACGCUAAGCACACGCGUGUUCCACCCCGGUUUGGUCAUAGGGACAUGUGACACGCUGUGGUCAUGGAUAUGGGGACAUCAUGGCUGCCCUGAUGCGUCCUGGCGUGUCCGUGGGGACGUGUGACACGCUGCCGUCACGCACACGCUAAGCACACGCGUGUUCUGCCCCAGUUUGGUUUGGUCAUAGGGACACGCGACACGCUAUGGACGCCUGGGCCCUUCCCGGACGCCUGGGCCCCUCCCGGAUGCCUGGGCCCCUCCCGGACGCCUGGGCCCCCCCCGGACGGCUGGGCCCCUCUCGGACGCCUGGGCCCUUCCCGGAUGCCUGGGCCCCUCCCGGACGCCUGGGUCCCUCCUGGACGCCUGGGCCCUUCCCGGACGCCUGGGCCCCUCCCGGACGCCUGGGCCUCUCUCGGACGCCUGGGCCCCUCUCGGACGCCUGGGCCCUUCCUGGAUGCCUGGGCCCCUCCUGGAUGCCUGGGCCCCUCUCGGACGCCUGGGCCCUUUCCUGGACGCCUGGGUCCCUCUCGGACGCCUGGGCCCUUCCCGGACGCCUGGGUCCCUCUCGGACGCCUGGGCCCUUCCCGGACACCUGGGCCCUUCCCGGACGCCUGGGCCCCCGGGGCAGGGAGUCGCCGUGGGGGCGGGAACCCAGCCUAGAUUAGCAGGGUGGGACCGACAUCGGUAUCAAAACCACGCGGGCAGGGGCCCAGGCGUCCGGGCAGCGAUCCAGGAGGGGCCCAGGCGUCCGGGGGACCCAGGUGUCCAGGGCAGGAGGGACCCAGGCGUCCGGGAAAAGGGGCCCAGGCGUCCGGGAAAAGGGGCCCAGGCGUCCGGGAAAAGGGGCCCAGGUGUCCGGGAAAAGGGGCCCAGGUGUCCGGGUGGAAAGGGCCCAGGCAUCCGGGGAAGGGCCCAGGCAUUUCGGGAAGGGGCCCAGGCGUCCGAGGAGGGACCCAGGCAUCCGGGCCAAGAGGGGCCCAGGCGUCUGAGAAGGGGCCCAGGCGUCCGGGGCAGGAGGGGCCCAGGUGUCCGGGGGUGAAGGGACCCAGGCACCCAGGGAAGGGCCCAGGCGUCCGGGGAAGGGGCCCAGGCAUCCGGGCCAAGAGGGACUCAGGUAUCUGGGAAAAGGGCCCAGGCGUCCGGGGGCGAAGGAACCCACGUGUCUGGGGAAGGGGCCCAGGCGUCCGGGCCAAGAGGGACCCAGGCGUCCGGGGGGCAGGAGGGGCCC